RNAcentral lists this ribosomal RNA (1200 nucleotides) under Escherichia coli. Its description in RNAcentral is "partial 23S ribosomal RNA". It matches the Rfam family "Bacterial large subunit ribosomal RNA", at positions 1 to 1230 of the family's 2925-position model. Lineage: Bacteria; Pseudomonadati; Pseudomonadota; Gammaproteobacteria; Enterobacterales; Enterobacteriaceae. The record is from RNAcentral.
GGGUUGUGAGGUUAAGCGACUAAGCGUACACGGUGGAUGCCCUGGCAGUCAGAGGCGAUGAAGGACGUGCUAAUCUGCGAUAAGCGUCGGUAAGGUGAUAUGAACCGUUAUAACCGGCGAUUUCCGAAUGGGGAAACCCAGUGUGAUUCGUCACACUAUCAUUAACUGAAUCCAUAGGUUAAUGAGGCGAACCGGGGGAACUGAAACAUCUAAGUACCCCGAGGAAAAGAAAUCAACCGAGAUUCCCCCAGUAGCGGCGAGCGAACGGGGAGGAGCCCAGAGCCUGAAUCAGUGUGUGUGUUAGUGGAAGCGUCUGGAAAGGCGCGCGAUACAGGGUGACAGCCCCGUACACAAAAAUGCACAUGCUGUGAGCUCGAUGAGUAGGGCGGGACACGUGGUAUCCUGUCUGAAUAUGGGGGGACCAUCCUCCAAGGCUAAAUACUCCUGACUGACCGAUAGUGAACCAGUACCGUGAGGGAAAGGCGAAAAGAACCCCGGCGAGGGGAGUGAAAAAGAACCUGAAACCGUGUACGUACAAGCAGUGGGAGCACAGAGCAAUCUGUGUGACUGCGUACCUUUUGUAUAAUGGGUCAGCGACUUAUAUUCUGUAGCAAGGUUAACCGAAUAGGGGAGCCGAAGGGAAACCGAGUCUUAACUGGGCGUUAAGUUGCAGGGUAUAGACCCGAAACCCGGUGAUCUAGCCAUGGGCAGGUUGAAGGUUGGGUAACACUAACUGGAGGACCGAACCGACUAAUGUUGAAAAAUUAGCGGAUGACUUGUGGCUGGGGGUGAAAGGCCAAUCAAACCGGGAGAUAGCUGGUUCUCCCCGAAAGCUAUUUAGGUAGCGCCUCGUGAAUUCAUCUCCGGGGGUAGAGCACUGUUUCGGCAAGGGGGUCAUCCCGACUUACCAACCCGAUGCAAACUGCGAAUACCGGAGAAUGUUAUCACGGGAGACACACGGCGGGUGCUAACGUCCGUCGUGAAGAGGGAAACAACCCAGACCGCCAGCUAAGGUCCCAAAGUCAUGGUUAAGUGGGAAACGAUGUGGGAAGGCCCAGACAGCCAGGAUGUUGGCUUAGAAGCAGCCAUCAUUUAAAGAAAGCGUAAUAGCUCACUGGUCGAGUCGGCCUGCGCGGAAGAUGUAACGGGGCUAAACCAUGCACCGAAGCUGCGGCAGCGACGCUGAUGCGUUGUUGGGUA